Molecule: long non-coding RNA, 857 nt
Organism: Labrus mixtus (cuckoo wrasse)
Lineage: Eukaryota; Metazoa; Chordata; Actinopteri; Labriformes; Labridae
Exons: 4
Source: RefSeq, a predicted model, not a curated record
UACAGUAACACGUGGGAGGAACACCUGCAAGCUGUCUUGGAUCGCCUUCAUUCUGCCGGGCUGACUAUCAACCUAACGAAGUGCAUCUUUGCUGCUGCAGAAACAAAGUACCUAGGCCACGUCAUCUGCAAUGGGGUUGUACGCCCUCAGGUCAACAAAAUCCAGGCCAUCGAGUCCUGUCCCCUGCCACAAACGAGGAAGCAGCGCUGAUCUUUUUCGGGCUCUCGGGCUUCUGUCACCACUUCAUACCCAAUUUCUCCAACAGGGCAGCGCUUCUCCCAGACUUGACUAGAUCCCGGAGUCCCAAUCAGAUCCAGUGGACAGAGGCGGCAGCUUUCAGUGAUAUCCAGCAGUUACUAACUAAGCAACCUCUUCUGUACAGCCCAAACUUUGAUGAAGAUUUUUUCUGCAAACUGAUGCUUCUGACAGGGCUUUGGGAGCUGUGUUACUUCAGGAUGAUCGGCAUCCAGUCGCCUACAUCAGCCGGAAACUGUUCCCCAGAAAGGUUCGAUAUUUGACGGUGGAGAAGGAGGCACUGGCUAUCAAGUGGGCCCUUGAUUCCUUCCGGUACUACCUUCUUGCUCAAGAGUUCACCUUGGAGACGGAUCACAAGGCCUGUUUGUCCCCCACAAGAGAAUCCUUCUCACCAGGGCUUUGGUAGAGAAACCAUCCAGUGUUGAUGAGAAGACGUACCACCAUCUCCUCACACAGAAAUACGAGGGAAAAUACGUACACCCGUUUUUCUGCCCCAUAGAAAAAAUGGAUGUAGGAUCUUUGAAAGAGCUUAGUAGAGACCCUCUUCUGUUAGGGUUAUUUUUUAUUUUCUGAUAAGCAGAACUUUAAUCCCACCUCUCUAC